UACGUAGGUGGCGAGCGUUAUCCGGAUUUACUGGGCGUAAAGGGCACGCAGGCGGUUUGGCAAGUUCGGUGUGAAAUCUCUCGGCUUAACUGGGAGUGGUCGCCGGAAACUGCCAAACUUGAGUCAAUGAGAGGGAUGCGGAAUUCCAGGUGUAGUGGUGGAAUGCGUAGAUAUCUGGAGGAACACCAGUGGCGAAAGCGGCAUCCUGGCAUUGCACUGACGCUGAGGUGCGAAAGCGUGGGUAGCGAACGGG
This 253-nucleotide ribosomal RNA is filed under the name uncultured bacterium. RNAcentral describes it as "partial 16S ribosomal RNA". It matches the Rfam family "Bacterial small subunit ribosomal RNA", at positions 524 to 776 of the family's 1533-position model. The record is from RNAcentral.